GGGCUUGUACUGGUUUCGACGGGGAUUUUGAAGUUACGGAAGCCAUUGGUGGCGGGGGACCACCUUAAAACUCUCAAAAAAAAUAAACGCUGAAGACAAUUUAGCACUCGCUGCCUAAUAUGGCAGCUGUCAGACCUGACGCACCUACACGUUAGGACCCUGGCAUCGACUAUGUAGGAAACGAUGCAUCCAAAGCUUUGAGGAUGUAGGCGUAUUAUGAAGCUACUGAAAUCCAGAGCGUGUCUGUUUGCGAUGGAUGGAGGGAACAUGCAGACUUCGGGUUUGCAGUCAUAACAGACUGUAAUGGGAGAUGCCGUAAUGGAUGGGUUUUCGGACAGGGGUUCGACUCCCCUCAGGUCCAUAA
RNAcentral lists this transfer-messenger RNA (364 nucleotides) under Lachnospiraceae bacterium. It matches the Rfam family "transfer-messenger RNA". Rfam says of the family: Bacterial tmRNA, also known as 10Sa RNA or SsrA, is named for its dual tRNA and mRNA-like properties. Its role is to liberate the mRNA from a stalled ribosome. To accomplish this part of the tmRNA is used as a reading frame that ends in a translation stop signal. The record is from RNAcentral. Lineage: Bacteria; Bacillati; Bacillota; Clostridia; Lachnospirales; Lachnospiraceae.